Molecule: transfer RNA, 87 nt
Rfam family: tRNA
About the family: Transfer RNA (tRNA) molecules are approximately 80 nucleotides in length. Their secondary structure includes four short double-helical elements and three loops (D, anti-codon, and T loops).
GCCGGUGUAGCUCAGCGGUUAUUUAAAACCGUAAAGAGCGCUAGACUCAUAAUCUAGAGGUCGCGGGUUCGAAUCCCGCCACCGGCA